CAGACCAUACAUUUACGGAAAACAU
Molecule: non-coding RNA, 25 nt
Filed under: Drosophila melanogaster (fruit fly)
Lineage: Eukaryota; Metazoa; Arthropoda; Insecta; Diptera; Drosophilidae
Source: RNAcentral